Molecule: long non-coding RNA, 347 nt
Organism: Physella acuta
Lineage: Eukaryota; Metazoa; Mollusca; Gastropoda; Physidae
Source: RefSeq, a predicted model, not a curated record
UGCAAUGUUCUCUGAAAACGAGGUUGCACAGUUGAAUAAUGACUCUUUUAGAGGACAGUAUUCAAUGAAUACUCUUGAUACAGUUUAUGUCAUUUUGAGACUACUAAACGGUACGGUAACACCUAUGUUGAGAAUGUGAUUACAAAAGUGAUAGAUAGAAUAUCAAAUCUCUGUAAAGCUAGCACAGAUCGUACCACCCCUUCACCUGUUGACAAAAGUGAAGAAAAGGAUGUUGUGCCAGCAAUUCUCUGGAGUGUAUAUGGUAGUGCUUUAGUUUAUGCGGCCAUCUCUGUUGGGGUUGUGAUGCUGUAUAGAAAAAUGAGAGCAGCAAAGAGAACGAAAGGUAA